GUAGAAGCCACGAGGGAGUGUACAGUAAUGCUCCAUCAUGUGCUGUGGGUGACAGCCUAAUGUACGCCUUAAUGUAUGCCAGCAGGACCCCCUUUUGAAAAAUUAAUGUUACUGAGUAUUACUGAACACAUUUACGUGUUGCAGCUUGGCACAUUUCCACGUCGGCCGCCUGCCCAUUGACCCUUAGCUGACCCUUGACCUCGCUCCAAACCGGUUGUUGGAGGCGGGGGGGAGAGGUAGAGGAAACUUUCACCUUAGUGGUCAACCUUCCCACUUCCUCCAGGCUCCCCCCCCACACCCCCUGACCUCAGUGACCAAGACCCACCUGUUCUGACCUAUAUAUGUGUAUUUUUCCACAUGACUGUAUACUUAUAAAUAAAUUAGUUCUGGUGAAA
Long non-coding RNA from Scylla paramamosain (green mud crab), 395 nucleotides. RefSeq lists it as uncharacterized. The transcript has 2 exons. Lineage: Eukaryota; Metazoa; Arthropoda; Malacostraca; Decapoda; Portunidae. The record is from RefSeq and is a predicted model, not a curated record.